GGCGGUGUAGCUCAGCGGUAGAGCAGAGGUUUCAUAAGCCUUGUGUCCUGGGUUCGAAUCCCAGCGCCGCCA
RNAcentral lists this transfer RNA (72 nucleotides) under Bacillota bacterium. Its description in RNAcentral is "Firmicutes bacterium (hot springs metagenome) tRNA-Met". It matches the Rfam family "tRNA". Rfam says of the family: Transfer RNA (tRNA) molecules are approximately 80 nucleotides in length. Their secondary structure includes four short double-helical elements and three loops (D, anti-codon, and T loops). The record is from RNAcentral. Lineage: Bacteria; Bacillati; Bacillota.